CAACGGGAAGGAAAUGACGGCUACAUUUCGUCAAAAUCGACGAAAUCCUCGCGAUUUGCGAGCUGUUUUGCUUGUUCCGACGCUUAGACGGUAGUGCAUUACAUUUGCAGUGUAAAAUGGAGUGAAAUGAGCACUUAAACGUCGAAAUAUCUCCUGCGGGAAGGAAAUGACAGUUAAUUUUCAUCAAAAUCGACGAAAUCAUCGCGAUUUGCGAGCUAUUUUGCUUGUUUCCACGCUUAAACGGCAGUGCAUUACAUUUGCAGUGUAAAAUGAAGUGAAAUGAGAUCUUAAACGUCGAAAUAUCUUCAACGGGAAGGAAAUGACGGCUACAUUUCGUCAAAAUCGACGAAAUCCUCGCGAUUUGCGAGCUGUUUUGCUUGUUUCGACGCUUAAACGGUAGUGCAUUACAUUUGCAGUGUAAAGUGGAGUGAAAUGAGAUCUUAAACGUCGAAAUAUCUUCAACGGGAAGGAAAUGACGGCUACAUUUCGUCAAAAUCGACGAAAUCCUCGCGAUUUGCGAGCUGUUUUGCUUGUUUCGACGCUUAAACGGUAUGCAUUACAUUUGCAGUGUAAAAUGGAGUGAAAUGAGCGCUUAAACGUCGAAAUAUCUCCAGCGGGGAUGAAAUGACUGUUAGUUUUCGUCAAAAUCGACGAAAUCAUCGCGAUUUGCGAAUUAUUUUGCUUGUUUCGACGCAUAAACGGUAGUGCAUUAAAUUUUCAGUGUAAAAUGAAGUGAAAUGAGCGCUUAAACGUCGAAA
Molecule: long non-coding RNA, 758 nt
Organism: Bombus huntii
Lineage: Eukaryota; Metazoa; Arthropoda; Insecta; Hymenoptera; Apidae
Exons: 3
Source: RefSeq, a predicted model, not a curated record